RNAcentral lists this transfer RNA (70 nucleotides) under Parupeneus chrysopleuron (yellow-striped goatfish). RNAcentral describes it as "tRNA-Tyr". It matches the Rfam family "tRNA". Rfam says of the family: Transfer RNA (tRNA) molecules are approximately 80 nucleotides in length. Lineage: Eukaryota; Metazoa; Chordata; Actinopteri; Syngnathiformes; Mullidae. The record is from RNAcentral.
GGUAAGAUGGCUGAGUUUUAAGCGGUGGAUUGUAGCCCCACAUACAGGGGUUCGAUUCCCCUUUUUACCA